This 433-nucleotide ribosomal RNA is filed under the name uncultured bacterium. Its description in RNAcentral is "partial 16S ribosomal RNA". It matches the Rfam family "Bacterial small subunit ribosomal RNA", at positions 29 to 507 of the family's 1533-position model. The record is from RNAcentral.
AACGAACGCUGGCGGCAUGCCUAACACAUGCCAGUCGAACGAGACCUUCGGGUCUAGUGGCGCACGGGUGCGUAACGCGUGGGAACCUGCCCUUAGGUUCGGAAUAACUCCCCGAAAGGGGUGCUAAUACCGGAUAAUGUCUUCGGACCAAAGAUUUAUCGCCUUUGGAUGGGCCCGCGUUGGAUUAGCUAGUUGGUAGGGUAAAAGCCUACCAAGGCGACGAUCCAUAGCUGGUCUGAGAGGAUGAUCAGCCACACUGGGACUGAGACACGGCCCAGACUCCUACGGGAGGCAACAGUGGGGAAUAUUGGACAAUGGGCGAAAGCCUGAUCCAGCAAUGCCGCGUGAGUGAUGAAGGCCUUAGGGUUGUAAAGCUCUUUUACCCGGGAUGAUAAUGACAGUACCGGGAGAAUAAGCUCCGGCUAACUCCGUG